ACAAGCUAACAGCUAUCACUGUGCAGCUCUCAAAUGGUCACCCACUGAAACUAAGCAGGGUUGAGCCUGGUUAGUAUAUCUGGAUGGGAGACCACGUGGGAAAACUAGAGCAGCUUUUC
RNAcentral lists this ribosomal RNA (119 nucleotides) under Danio rerio (zebrafish). Lineage: Eukaryota; Metazoa; Chordata; Actinopteri; Cypriniformes; Danionidae. The record is from RNAcentral.